CUUCGCGGGCCUCCAAACUGCCCGGACCCUUAUGCACCUUCAUACCCAUUAUUUUCUCUUGCAAAUAUAACAAAUGGUAUAAUGUUUUUUUUUUUUUUUUUUUUUUUUUUUUUUACAUCAGUUAAACAAGAACUCAAUAAUAACAGACUUCUGGUUAAGACACACCAUAUUGCCUAUUUUUGCUCUAUUUCACCAAUAAAUAUAGCUCAUUCCAAACAGAGGCACGGUGCUGUUUUGUGUCUCUGAGCAUCAUGAAUGUGUUUGAUUCCUGAAUUAAUCAACCGUUUAAAUGAUCAAUAACUCACUUAUUACAGUUUUUCUGAAUGCUUAAGCGCUAAUCGUGAUUCUUGUAGCACAAUUUCUAAAACUAUUAAUAUGUAUAGCAAAACCACUCACUGAGUUUGCAAAACUUAAAGCACAAACACUGCUUUGCACUCAGUUUGCAAUUUUGUAACACACUUGGCAAAACUGUAGGCACAAUCCACUGCACAACACUCUUUUUGCAGAACUUUAAACACAACUCACUGCUUACACUCAAUUACCAACACACUCCUAGAAAAAUUAUACACAUGUAUGGCUAUCAUUAACACUAUUUUGCCCACUGUCUGGCACACUUUCACAUGUGAAAACUGUUUUAGAUCAUUAGUUCACUUUGCAGUCAGCCUAAGCACUAUAAAUAAGCCACAGGUAAGCUGUCUGUGUGGAGUACAAUGGAUGGAGCAGUAAGAGUGAGAAGAGUGAGAAUCAGAGGAGGCCGAGGGAGAGGACGUGGAGGUGAAGAAGCGAGAGGGUUACAGGAAGUUAGAGGAAGAGGACAAGGAGGAGCAAGAAGAGGACGAGGAGGGGACAGAGGAAGGGUAAGAAGAGUAAGAAAUAGAAUAACUGAUGACAUUAGAGCUACAAUAGUGGACCAUGUCAUCAACCAUGGGAUGACUCUGAGGGAAGCUGGCCAACGGGUUCAGCCUAAUUUGAGCCGCUACACUGUGGCAAGCAUCAUUAGGACAUUUCGAAAUCAGAAUCGGUAAGUACUUUGUAGCACUGACAUACUCAAAUGAGAAACACAACAGCACCAUACAUGCAAAAAUACUGAAAUUGUUACUUUACAGAAUUGCUAGACGUCCAGAUGUUGGGGGCAGAAGAAGAAUGUUCACUCCAGAGCAAGAGACCCAUAUAGUGAACAUGAAUAAGAAUGAAGCAAAUUUACAGAGUUCCUUUCGAGAGAAACACAGAACGUGUAAAGCAACUGCGAUAUGACUAUGUGCAGAUAGUGAUGGAACUAGAAGCAGAUGCCAUGGGACAUGAGCUACUUUUUGUAGAUGAGGCCGGUUUUAACCUCAGUAAAACCAGGAGACGUGGCAGGAACAUUACUGGACACCGUGCCAUCAUCAAUGUCCCAGAACAACGUGGUGGUAACAUAACCACGUGUGCAGCUAUAAGCCAAAAUGCUGUUGUUCACCAUCAUGCAACCAUAGGCCCAUAGAACACUGCACACAUUAUUGCAUUCCUGGACACCUUACAUGACUUGCUCACUGUUCAGAGACCAGAACAUACACGAUAUGUCAUCAUAUAGGACAAUGUUAGUUUCCAUAGGGCUGCUUUGGUCCGCAACUGGUUUACAGACCACCCAUCCUUCAUGGCACUCACUCAAGCUCCCUCCAUACUCUCUUAAAUCCCAUCGAGGAGUUCUUCUCUGCCUGGCGCUGGAAAGUGUACGACCGUCAUCCUCAUCAACAGGUAGCCCUUUUACAGGCAAUGGAGGAGGCAUGUGGAGAUAUUGACCAGACAUCAUGUCAGGCCUGGAUACGGCAUUCAAGGAGAUAUUUUCCCCGGUGUCUUGGACUGGAGGAUAUCGCAUGUGAUGUGGACCAAAUUUUGUGGCCGGACCCAGAAAGACGACAUGAUGUAGACUGAUCGUCUUUUUUUGGUGAAAUUUUGUGUUCUGACUUUGUCUUGGUUUUGAUGAGUGUGAAUAAACACCAAUACUUGAAGUUUGGAUCCUUGUAUAUGUUUACAUGACACUAUGACAAAAGUAUGACCUCAAAUUGACAUCUGUACACAGAGAAAGCAAAAGCCAGAUGUGUUUUGUAUUCGUACCAUCAG
Carassius auratus (goldfish) is the source of this 2100-nucleotide long non-coding RNA. RefSeq lists it as uncharacterized. The transcript has 3 exons. The record is from RefSeq and is a predicted model, not a curated record. NCBI's taxonomy places the organism in Eukaryota, Metazoa, Chordata, Actinopteri, Cypriniformes, Cyprinidae.